Molecule: ribosomal RNA, 2478 nt
Filed under: Escherichia coli
Lineage: Bacteria; Pseudomonadati; Pseudomonadota; Gammaproteobacteria; Enterobacterales; Enterobacteriaceae
Description: partial 23S ribosomal RNA
Rfam family: Bacterial large subunit ribosomal RNA
Source: RNAcentral
CGGGACACGUGGUAUCCUGUCUGAAUAUGGGGGGACCAUCCUCCAAGGCUAAAUACUCCUGACUGACCGAUAGUGAACCAGUACCGUGAGGGAAAGGCGAAAAGAACCCCGGCGAGGGGAGUGAAAAAGAACCUGAAACCGUGUACGUACAAGCAGUGGGAGCACGCUUAGGCGUGUGACUGCGUACCUUUUGUAUAAUGGGUCAGCGACUUAUAUUCUGUAGCAAGGUUAACCGAAUAGGGGAGCCGAAGGGAAACCGAGUCUUAACUGGGCGUUAAGUUGCAGGGUAUAGACCCGAAACCCGGUGAUCUAGCCAUGGGCAGGUUGAAGGUUGGGUAACACUAACUGGAGGACCGAACCGACUAAUGUUGAAAAAUUAGCGGAUGACUUGUGGCUGGGGGUGAAAGGCCAAUCAAACCGGGAGAUAGCUGGUUCUCCCCGAAAGCUAUUUAGGUAGCGCCUCGUGAAUUCAUCUCCGGGGGUAGAGCACUGUUUCGGCAAGGGGGUCAUCCCGACUUACCAACCCGAUGCAAACUGCGAAUACCGGAGAAUGUUAUCACGGGAGACACACGGCGGGUGCUAACGUCCGUCGUGAAGAGGGAAACAACCCAGACCGCCAGCUAAGGUCCCAAAGUCAUGGUUAAGUGGGAAACGAUGUGGGAAGGCCCAGACAGCCAGGAUGUUGGCUUAGAAGCAGCCAUCAUUUAAAGAAAGCGUAAUAGCUCACUGGUCGAGUCGGCCUGCGCGGAAGAUGUAACGGGGCUAAACCAUGCACCGAAGCUGCGGCAGCGACGCUGAUGCGUUGUUGGGUAGGGGAGCGUUCUGUAAGCCUGUGAAGGUGUGCUGUGAGGCAUGCUGGAGGUAUCAGAAGUGCGAAUGCUGACAUAAGUAACGAUAAAGCGGGUGAAAAGCCCGCUCGCCGGAAGACCAAGGGUUCCUGUCCAACGUUAAUCGGGGCAGGGUGAGUCGACCCCUAAGGCGAGGCCGAAAGGCGUAGUCGAUGGGAAACAGGUUAAUAUUCCUGUACUUGGUGUUACUGCGAAGGGGGGACGGAGAAGGCUAUGUUGGCCGGGCGACGGUUGUCCCGGUUUAAGCGUGUAGGCUGGUUUUCCAGGCAAAUCCGGAAAAUCAAGGCUGAGGCGUGAUGACGAGGCACUACGGUGCUGAAGCAACAAAUGCCCUGCUUCCAGGAAAAGCCUCUAAGCAUCAGGUAACAUCAAAUCGUACCCCAAACCGACACAGGUGGUCAGGUAGAGAAUACCAAGGCGCUUGAGAGAACUCGGGUGAAGGAACUAGGCAAAAUGGUGCCGUAACUUCGGGAGAAGGCACGCUGAUAUGUAGGUGAAGCGACUUGCUCGUGGAGCUGAAAUCAGUCGAAGAUACCAGCUGGCUGCAACUGUUUAUUAAAAACACAGCACUGUGCAAACACGAAAGUGGACGUAUACGGUGUGACGCCUGCCCGGUGCCGGAAGGUUAAUUGAUGGGGUCAGCGCAAGCGAAGCUCUUGAUCGAAGCCCCGGUAAACGGCGGCCGUAACUAUAACGGUCCUAAGGUAGCGAAAUUCCUUGUCGGGUAAGUUCCGACCUGCACGAAUGGCGUAAUGAUGGCCAGGCUGUCUCCACCCGAGACUCAGUGAAAUUGAACUCGCUGUGAAGAUGCAGUGUACCCGCGGCAAGACGGAAAGACCCCGUGAACCUUUACUAUAGCUUGACACUGAACAUUGAGCCUUGAUGUGUAGGAUAGGUGGGAGGCUUUGAAGUGUGGACGCCAGUCUGCAUGGAGCCGGCCUUGAAAUACCACCCUUUAAUGUUUGAUGUUCUAACGUUGACCCGUGAUCCGGGUUGCGGACAGUGUCUGGUGGGUAGUUUGACUGGGGCGGUCUCCUCCUAAAGAGUAACGGAGGAGCACGAAGGUUGGCUAAUCCUGGUCGGACAUCAGGAGGUUAGUGCAAUGGCAUAAGCCAGCUUGACUGCGAGCGUGACGGCGCGAGCAGGUGCGAAAGCAGGUCAUAGUGAUCCGGUGGUUCUGAAUGGAAGGGCCAUCGCUCAACGGAUAAAAGGUACUCCGGGGAUAACAGGCUGAUACCGCCCAAGAGUUCAUAUCGACGGCGGUGUUUGGCACCUCGAUGUCGGCUCAUCACAUCCUGGGGCUGAAGUAGGUCCCAAGGGUAUGGCUGUUCGCCAUUUAAAGUGGUACGCGAGCUGGGUUUAGAACGUCGUGAGACAGUUCGGUCCCUAUCUGCCGUGGGCGCUGGAGAACUGAGGGGGGCUGCUCCUAGUACGAGAGGACCGGAGUGGACGCAUCACUGGUGUUCGGGUUGUCAUGCCAAUGGCACUGCCCGGUAGCUAAAUGCGGAAGAGAUAAGUGCUGAAAGCAUCUAAGCACGAAACUUGCCCCGAGAUGAGUUCUCCCUGACUCCUUGAGAGUCCUGAAGGAACGUUGAAGACGACGACGUUGAUAGGCCGGGUGUGUAAGCGC